This 1459-nucleotide long non-coding RNA is filed under the name Homo sapiens (human). RNAcentral describes it as "HSALNT0361869". Lineage: Eukaryota; Metazoa; Chordata; Mammalia; Primates; Hominidae. The record is from RNAcentral.
AGGCAACCCAGCUCUUCUAAUUUAAAAGUUGCUGCAUUUGUGAUGAUUUUCAUCUUGACUGGGGAUGCUCCCCAUUCUGAACACCAGCAUCAUGCAUCCUUUGCUCUGUUCUAGGCACAACAAUCAAAAGUGCUUAUUCCCAAACUGGACCUGACUUCAGCCAGAAUAUGUCACCGUGAGAUUCCCUAUGCAGAGGCCCAUGUGGCAACAAACUGAUGUGUCCUUCCAACAACCAGGCCUGAGACCUCACAAGACCCAACUGGCAUGCAUUUGUAUGUGAGUGCCAGUGCGGGUCAUCACAGCUUGCAUCCAUUUCAAGUCUUCAUCUAACAUACAGAAGAAAAAACACUGAUUUUGACAACCACCCAUAGAUGACAGUACGUUUUGGGAGGCCAGGAGUCCAGUGGUAAGGUCCCAGCAUACCACUGGAGCAAAACAUCUGAGAAUACACACGUUAAAGAAGUUCGGUUUCAUUCUUCCAGAAACUCCUGAAGUCAAUUUGGAAAAAAGAACAUGUGAUUUGGCAAUUGAGUGCUUAAAAUAUAUUUACCAGUGUGGAGCACCAUUGUACCAUCCUACGAAAAUUAUUAGGAGAGUCACCACUGUGGAGGAACUCAAGAUGUGAAGGACUUUUUCAGAAAGCUGGAGAUGAAAGAACAACGAAACUUUACAAUGUCUAUGGUCCGUGCAGAGAUCAAGGUCUGUCAGAGACAUCUUUCCCUGUGGUUCCCUCAACUCCACAAGCCUUUGGGUCUUCAGAUUGAGAGGAGCAGAACAUGAGGUACUGAACUCAAGAGGUCUCACGUGCACUUGGACCUGAUUUACAUGACAAGGUUCUGGCCUGAUUCAGUAACAUGAUACAAUCUUAUGUGGGGUAUUGGGAGGUUGAGUAUGUAUUUUUCAUGGGGAAGAAUGUAAAUAAUCCAUGGAAUAAAAAAUAUGACUUUUAAAAUGUGGCCUCAGAAUCCUUUGCACUCCUCUCAUUAAGAAGUAAGGUCUAUGAGUUUCCCUUUGAAUUUGAGUGGGCUUUUGACUUCUUCAUUCAAUACUGCAAGUUUCAAGUGAUGUUAUGUGACUUCUAAAUCUAGAUUAUAAAAGGUCUUGCAGAUUUUGCAUAAUUUUUUUAAAUUACACAAAAAUCAUUUUUGCAUAAUUCUCCUUCCUGGAGCUUUCAUUCUUGUACAUUCCCUCCCAGAAUCUAGCCACCAUGCUGCGAGAAUUCCAAGCCUCACAGAGAGGGCCCGUGUAGGUUCAAAGUACUAGAGUCCCAGUUGAGACUGUCCUUGAGCCACCACACCCCGAAAAGCAGACUGUGGGUAGAGUUAAUAUUGGAAAUGUUUUCUCCAGUCUUAGUUGUCCCAGCCCCCGGCUUCUAGAGGUAUCUCCAGCUGUUUAAGAGAUCUCAACUGAGGUAGCAGAUAUGGUAAAGUUCUAAAAUGCCACUCCUAUUCUGUACACC